Myiozetetes cayanensis is the source of this 69-nucleotide small nucleolar RNA. RefSeq annotates it as small nucleolar RNA SNORD58. The record is from RefSeq and is a predicted model, not a curated record. The transcript has a single exon. NCBI's taxonomy places the organism in Eukaryota, Metazoa, Chordata, Aves, Passeriformes, Tyrannidae.
CUGUGGUGAUGACUUUCUUAGGACACCUUUGGAUUUAAUUGUGCAAAGGCAACAUAAUUUCUGAGCAAC